AAUUCGCGAUUGUUACUAAGUUAGAAGAGAACUUUGAGAAUAAAAUAUGUAUAAUUAUCGUAUUUAAUUUUUUUUUCCACGUGGAUAACAUUUGAUGAAUAAGUGUGGGAUAAAAUUCUUCAUUCCGUCCUUUUACGUAUGCACUGCAAUUGUUAUGUUUUUUCCGCAAAAUUUGUGUGUGUGUGUGUUCCUCGUAUUAACAAAAACCGUUGCAAAUCGAGUGUAAUGUGUAAUGUGCUGCCGGUACACGCUUUCUGGAACUCGUGAAAGAUAUAAUAGCUACUGUGACACCCGGACAUUUCUCGAUUUAUGCGUAUACGGGGUGCCCCAAAGAUGGGGAUCGCGAGCUUAAUUCUUUAUUGAAGCUGAAAAAAUGACGCUACACCAAGAGGAAUUCGAAAUUUUUGGGACUGAGAAAAUUUUUCAAUUCUCCAAUAAAAACAAUGUGUUAGUCCAAUAAAACUUUUAGCUGAACCAGCGAAUCGUGACAAACAGAAAAAAAUUCACUGACUCAAUGGGAAAUUUGGUCGUGUCAUUCGUAGAAUAUUGCGCUCGACGAUAAAAAACAUUGUGGAUAAUUUUCAUCUUUGGCCACCGCGAUUUGGCGAUCGAACAAAUAUUUUGAUAAAUCGAUGAAUUCUUUUGUUCGGGGAGAAAGUAAAACGAAAAUUCUUCGAAACUAACCUAACUUUACGAUGCAUUUUUUAGUUUCAACUCUCUCCGCCUAUCAAUGCGCAGUGCUCUCUGCAAUUGUUAGUGAAUAUCUUGUGACCACCUCAAAACUAAAUCUGUGGAAAAUAUCAAGAGGAAUGUGAAAAUGAGGAGAGUGACCAGUGGAAAAUUAUUUUUCGCCAUGUUCAUUUUUUUUCUUGUGUUCUAACGGCGCGAACUCCAAAACUGACUUCGCAGACACUCUUUAUAUGCAGCGUGUGAAAGCUUAUGACACUGAGUCUUUCUAUUCCUGGAUACUUUCUACGGAAAAACGUUUGCCUGAUUUUACAGCACACGUGUAUAAAGAUUCAUUUAUUUUUCUGUACAGCAUUAACUUCGAUUCUAUGGUCUCUAUAUAUCCGUGCGUUGUUCAUUAUUCCCAUACGUAUAUGUGAAAUAUUCAGAGAUUCACUGUUACAGGCGAGACAUCUCCCGGAAUAGUUUUCACCGAAUUACCGAUAGUUGAUCCUUUCCAAGUAUCCGGGAAACGUCACGAUUCUCAUCCUCGAUUAAUAAUAAACCGAGUAACACCGACGCGAAAGCUUUUCUACAGCUCGCGUCGCGGUUCCUGAUAGUUUAUUGUGUUGUGAUCGUGGAAUCGAACUCGUUCGUACUUUCACUAUGAUGAAUGUUUUCGCUGAAGAAGUUUGGCGCAAAUCACUCCGAUUGCGCGAGUGUAUCACGAGAUUUUGUGGUUCAAUAUUAAGGUAAUUUGAAAUCGAAGAAAAUGAGCGGUGGCCGAGACUCUAACAUUCUAUGCAAAAAUCAUCAAAGCAAUGUUAAUGGUGAAACCGUGAAAAAGUCAGAAAACGGAGAAUCUAUUUUGCGCUGUUCGAGCAUCAAGAACGGAUGUCCGGCGUGGAAAAGAAGCUCCCCGCCCUCGCCCCUCGGCUACGCGAGUACGGAGCUGACUCCGGUUGCAUAAAUUCAGACUCUCAUUAAUCCGAGAUGAAUCUUCGAGGAGCGGGAAGGGGGCGGUUGGAGUGUGCACUGGAAACGAGGAGGACGGGUCGGGAGGCUGAAGCAACUCGAAGUUAAAUAAAUAUGAAGAAAAGGUCCGAGGAUUGAAACGAAGCAGACGAUUCCCGACUUCGAACGAACCUCAAACAAUCUUUGGGAGCAAUCUUCAUCCCCAGAACCAAUGAAACAGCGAUGGGAGCGAGAAACUUGAGAGUGGAGAAACAACGCUGCGAAAAAGGAAGAAGAGAGCAAUUUAAACUCAAACUUUUUCGUCAAUCGCCACUAAAAGUGUCUGAAAAAGUGAGAGCAACAGAGAAAGAGAAAUGAAGGGAGGCCAAGAGGCUAAAUUCUUUUUAAAAAGGAAUCAAAAGAACAAUUUAUUCAGCUACAAUUCCUCGGGACGGUACAAGCCUCGAGUGUACCUGUUUAAGUGGUGUAUAAAAGAAGCCUUUUAUAAUAGCUGGAAGUCGGCUUAAAGAAAGCUGCCGGAUGCAGGAUAAAGUGAGAGAGAAAAGGAGAGGGAGGGACGUCAUUAUCUUAUCUCGGAGCACUUCCUGUCAACCUGGGACUCGAAGAACCUCUCUCAACGUGUACAGCUCCUUUCGUGGUAAUCGCAAAGAACGCUGUGCCACGACUUGCAACUUUGCGCGCACAUAGACGCUUCGACCCUCGGAGCGACACACGCACCUAUAUCCAUCCACGGAGGUAUGCACAUGGACGAAAGCGUAAUGUGCAUCUAGUAAAUACACGAGCACUAAUCUCCUGUCAUAAAGACAAACACACACAGAGGAACUCGAUCACCCACACUCGCCGUCGCCCUGCCAAGGCAUUCCUUGCUGUAGGUAUUACUUCCGGUCGAGCGACGACGUUCGUAGUGGAAUAACAUUGUGUCGAAGCUCACACGACUGUGCACGGCGGACACUCGCAUAUGCUCGUGUGCCAUUCAACGUGCCCAUAAACACACAUCCGAGAAGGCGGCUCCAACGAUAAUCGUUCUCCUUCUGGCCCAGAAGAAUCGACGGAGCGUAAGAGUGCACGAGGCAUCGACUGCUGAUGAAGAAUUUCGGCCUUUCCCGGGUCAACAAAAUACGGCUUGGAUAAUAAUUAUCGAUCUAGCAACGAAGAAACUUGGAAACUCUCACACUGCGAACUAAACGUCGCGUAUGUGCGAAUCUACUCGAACAUAUUUAGUUCUGACGUUUACGUAACGUUUUAAUAGACGUCGAUCAACGAUCCCCUCCAUCUUCAGCCUCAUCUUGGCGUUCCAUUCUCUUCCUCUUUGUCUUCGUAUCUUUUUUCCUUUGGCUCGAUCUUACGGUACGCGAUGCUUAGUAAUUUGACGCGUUCGUGAGCACAUGAGCCUUUAACGACGUGCCGUGUGAAUUUAUGCGAGUUCGCAAGGUUCAUUAAUCCUUAAUGUCCUAUCCCGUGAUUUCACCUACAGAACAAUUUCUUCCUUUUUCGAAAAUUCGUUUCGAAAUCUGAAAAAAUUUGAAUCAAUAAACAAAGUAAAAUCGAAUCAAACAAAAUUCAACAAUAAAAAAUAAUGAAAAAAAGCAAAUCGAAUUCGUUGGCUAAAAUGUUUGUUGAAUGAAAAAAUUUCAUUCAGUUUCCCACGAUUUGUUGAUAGCCAACCAAAACUUUGUUCCACCAACAAAUUUCUUUUCUCCCCGCAGAUGGGGACGAUAUUAGCACUCAAUUUUUUUUCAUCUUCGUGAACGUGUGGAUAUGAGAAAAAGGAAAAAAAAGACGAAUAAAAGUGUACGUCAAACGUUGCCCAUGUCGCUGUCUCGUCCUGACGCGGAUGUGUCUGGCAACGUGAAGCCCGAAAAAUUUUCGUGAACGAAACGAGGAGAUCCUGAGCAAGAGCAAACGUGGGUGCAAGAACGAGAGAGGAAGGGGCAAGCGGGGGACAGCGAGAGGGAGGGAGUGUGAAUGAAGGAAAACGUAGUCAGGUUAGGCGAGGUUCGAGUUCCAACUGUGGAGCAAAUCGUUAUCUGUCGAGGAGCAGCAGCAGCAGCAGCAGCAGCGGCAGAAGAAGAAGAACAAAAAAACGACUUUCGACGUUCGACACAGCUCCGGGGUCUCGGGGAUCCUCCCACACUGGGAUAAACACCUAUAUAAAUAUGGGAAAUUUAAUGUCGAGUGAAUGAUUCGAAAGAAUAAAAAAGAGCAGCGAGGUGUCAUCGAAA
Long non-coding RNA from Venturia canescens, 3863 nucleotides. RefSeq lists it as uncharacterized. Lineage: Eukaryota; Metazoa; Arthropoda; Insecta; Hymenoptera; Ichneumonidae. The record is from RefSeq and is a predicted model, not a curated record. The transcript has 4 exons.